Molecule: ribosomal RNA, 500 nt
Filed under: uncultured bacterium
Lineage: Bacteria
Description: partial 16S ribosomal RNA
Rfam family: Bacterial small subunit ribosomal RNA
Source: RNAcentral
GACGAACGCUGGCGGCGUGCCUAAUACAUGCAAGUCGAGCGGACUGAUUAAGAGCUUGCUCUUAUGACGUUAGCGGCGGACGGGUGAGUAACACGUGGGCAACCUGCCCUGUAGAUCGGGAUAACACCGAGAAAUCGGUGCUAAUACCGGGUAAUAUCUGAGAUCACAUGAUCUUAGGUUAAAAGAUGGCUCCGGCUAUCACUACAGGAUGGGCCCGCGGCGCAUUAGCUAGUUGGUAAGGUAAUGGCUUACCAAGGCGACGAUGCGUAGCCGACCUGAGAGGGUGAUCGGCCACACUGGGACUGAGACACGGCCCAGACUCCUACGGGAGGCAGCAGUAGGGAAUCUUCCGCAAUGGACGAAAGUCUGACGGAGCAACGCCGCGUGAGUGAUGAAGGGUUGCGGCUCGUAAAGCUCUGUUGUUAGGGAAGAAACAGUACCGAACGAACUAGGUCGGUACCUUGACGGUACCUAAACAGAAAGCCACGGCUAACUACGUG